UACGUAGGGACCAAGCGUUGUUCGGAUUUACUGGGCGUACAGGGCGCGUAGGCGGCGCGGUAAGUCACUUGUGAAAUCUCUGAGCUUAACUCAGAACGGCCAAGUGAUACUGCAGUGCUAGAGUGUGGAAGGGGCAAUCGGAAUUCUUGGUGUAGCGGUGAAAUGCGUAGAUAUCAAGAGGAACACCUGAGGUGAAGACGGGUUGCUGGGCCAACACUGACGCUGAUGCGCGAAAGCCAGGGGAGCAAACGGG
This 253-nucleotide ribosomal RNA is filed under the name uncultured bacterium. RNAcentral's name for it is "partial 16S ribosomal RNA". It matches the Rfam family "Bacterial small subunit ribosomal RNA", at positions 524 to 776 of the family's 1533-position model. The record is from RNAcentral.